UACGAAGGGGGCUAGCGUUGUUCGGAAUUACUGGGCGUAAAGCGCACGUAGGCGGACUAUUAAGUCAGGGGUGAAAUCCCGGGGCUCAACCCCGGAACUGCCUUUGAUACUGGUAGUCUCGAGUCCGGAAGAGGUGAGUGGAAUUCCGAGUGUAGAGGUGAAAUUCGUAGAUAUUCGGAGGAACAUCAGUGGCGAAAGCGACUUCCUGGACCAGUACCGACGUUCAGGCACGAAAGCGUGGGGAGCAAACAGG
This 253-nucleotide ribosomal RNA is filed under the name uncultured bacterium. RNAcentral describes it as "partial 16S ribosomal RNA". It matches the Rfam family "Bacterial small subunit ribosomal RNA", at positions 524 to 776 of the family's 1533-position model. The record is from RNAcentral.